UCAAUGUGGAGGCUAUAUACAGGGGGUACUGGUACAGAGUCAAUGUGGAGGCUAUAUACAGGGGGUACCAGUACAGAGUCAAUGUGGAGGCUAUAUACAGGGGGUACCAGUACAGAGUCAAUGUGGAGGCUAUAUACAGGGGGUACUGGUACAGAGUCAAUGUGGAGGCUAUAUACAGGGGGUACUGGUACAGAGUCAAUGUGGAGGCUAUGUACAUGGUGUUAUGGUACAGAGUCAAUGUGGAGGCUAUAUACAGGGGGUACCGGUACAGAGUCAAUGUGGAGGCUAUAUACAGGGGUACCGGUACAGAGUCAAUGUGGAGGCUAUAUACAGGGGUACUGGUACAGAGUCAAUGUGGAGGCUAUAUACAGGGGUACCGGUACAGAGUCAAUGUGGAGGCUAUAUACAGGGGUACUGGUACAGAGUCAAUGUGGAGGCUAUAUACAAGGGGUACUGGUACAGAGUCAAUGUGGAGGCUAUAUACAAGGGGUACCGGUACAGAGUCAAUGUGGAGGCUAUAUACAGGGGGUACUGGUACAGAGUCAAUGUGGAGGCUAUAUACAGGGGGUACUGGUACAGAGUCAAUGUGGAGGCUAUAUACAGGGGGUACUGGUACAGAGACAAUGUGGAGGCUAUAUACAGGGGGUACCGGUACAGAGUCAAUGUGGAGGCUAUAUACAGGGGGUACCGGUACAGAGUCAAUGUGGAGGCUAUAUACAGGGGGUACUGGUACAGAGUCAAUGUGGAGGCUAUAUACAGGGGGUACCGGUACAGAGUCAAUGUGGAGGCUAUAUACAGGGGGUAAAGGUACAGAGUCAAUGUGGAGGCUAUAUACAGGGGGUACAGGUACAGAGUCAAUGUGGAGGCGACAUACAGGGGGUACUGGUACAGAGUCAAUGUGGAGUCUAUAUACACGGGGUACAGAGUCAAUGUGGAGGCUAUAUACAGGG
Long non-coding RNA from Oncorhynchus tshawytscha (Chinook salmon), 950 nucleotides. Lineage: Eukaryota; Metazoa; Chordata; Actinopteri; Salmoniformes; Salmonidae. The record is from Ensembl.